RNAcentral lists this ribosomal RNA (416 nucleotides) under uncultured soil bacterium. RNAcentral's name for it is "bacterial SSU rRNA". It matches the Rfam family "Bacterial small subunit ribosomal RNA", at positions 26 to 429 of the family's 1533-position model. The record is from RNAcentral.
AGAUCGAACGCUGGCGGCAGGCCUAACACAUGCAAGUCGAGCGGCAGCACGGGUACUUGUACCUGGUGGCGAGCGGCGGACGGGUGAGUAAUGCCUAGGAAUCUGCCUGAUAGUGGGGGAUAACGUUCGGAAACGGACGCUAAUACCGCAUACGUCCUACGGGAGAAAGCAGGGGACCUUCGGGCCUUGCGCUAUCGAGAUGAGCCUAGGUCGGAUUAGCUAGUUGGUGAGUAAUGGCUCACCAAGGCGACGAUCCGUAAUGGUCUGAGAGGAUGAUCAGUCACACUGGAACUGAAGACACGGUCCAGACUCCUACGGGAGCAGCGAGGUGGGAAUAGUUGGACAAGUCGGGACGAAAGCCGUGACUCCGAGCCAGUGCCGCGUGUGGUAGAAGUAAGUCGUUCGGAGUUAGUAAG